Molecule: ribosomal RNA, 253 nt
Filed under: uncultured bacterium
Lineage: Bacteria
Description: partial 16S ribosomal RNA
Rfam family: Bacterial small subunit ribosomal RNA
Source: RNAcentral
GACAGAGGUGCCGAGCGUUAGGCGGAAUCACUGGGCUUAAAGCGUGUGUAGGCGGGUCGUUAAGUGUCUUGUGAAAUCCCCCGGCUCAACCGGGGAAUGGCUGGGCAUACUGGCGAUCUUGAGCAGUCUAGGGGCAGAUGGAACAAGUGGUGGAGCGGUGAAAUGCGUAGAUAUCACUUGGAACGCCAACGGUGAAGACAGUCUGCUGGGGACUUGCUGACGCUGAGACACGAAAGCGUGGGGAGCAAACAGG